GUGGCGAACGGGUGCGUAACGCGUAUGCAACCUACCUUCAUCAGGGGGAUAGCCCGGAGAAAUUCGGAUUAACACCGCAUAAAAACACAGUACGGCAUCGUACAAUGUUCAAAUAUUAAUAGGAUGAAGAUGGGCAUGCGUGUCAUUAGCUAGUUGGUAAGGUAACGGCUUACCAAGGCGACGAUGACUAGGGGAUCUGAGAGGAUGACCCCCCACACUGGUACUGAGACACGGACCAGACUCCUACGGGAGGCAGCAGUAAGGAAUAUUGGUCAAUGGAGGCAACUCUGAACCAGCCAUGCCGCGUGCAGGAAGACUGCCCUAUGGGUUGUAAACUGCUUUUAUACGGGAAUAAACCUUGAUUCGUGAAUCGAGCUGAAUGUACCGUAAGAAUAAGGAUCGGCUAACUCCGUGCCAGCAGCCGCGGUAAUACGGAGGAUCCAAGCGUUAUCCGGAUUUAUUGGGUUUAAAGGGAGCGUAGGCGGCCAUUUAAGUCAGAGGUGAAAACUUGCAGCUCAACUGUAAGCUUGCCUUUGAUACUGAGUGGCUUGAAUAAACUUGAGGUAGGCGGAAUGUGACAAGUAGCGGUGAAAUGCAUAGAUAUGUCACAGAACACCAAUUGCGAAGGCAGCUUACUAAGGUUUAAUUGACGCUGAGGCUCGAAAGCGUGGGGAUCAAACAGGAUUAGAUACCCUGGUAGUCCACGCCCUAAACGAUGAUAACUCGAUGUUGGCGAUAUACAGUCAGCGUCCAAGCGAAAGCGUUAAGUUAUCCACCUGGGGAGUACGCCCGCAAGGGUGAAACUCAAAGGAAUUGACGGGGGCCCGCACAAGCGGAGGAG
This 841-nucleotide ribosomal RNA is filed under the name Pedobacter glucosidilyticus. RNAcentral's name for it is "bacterial SSU rRNA". It matches the Rfam family "Bacterial small subunit ribosomal RNA", at positions 95 to 937 of the family's 1533-position model. The record is from RNAcentral. Lineage: Bacteria; Pseudomonadati; Bacteroidota; Sphingobacteriia; Sphingobacteriales; Sphingobacteriaceae.